CAGCUUGUAAACAAAAAGCCGUUCCUCCGGUUCCUACACGGGAGACCCGAAUUCCUCGACUUGCGUUGGACGUGGCUACAUGGCACCGAAUGCUCUGCCGGAAAUACCAGCUCUUGGCAGUUGAAUAAGUAGGUUAGACAAAAUGUUGCGAUUAAUGGACCGAAGGAAAAAACUCUUACCCAACGGAAGGCUCGCAUCCCUCCUUAAACGCUACCGGAGAAAAAGAAAACAGCGCUCCCGGAGUUUCUUGGUUACGAAAUCAGUUAGCUUCCAAUGUCGCUGGAUCGGUGUUGCCGGAAGCAGUUGCAUGCAGACAUGCAGAUGGCGCCAAGCCAAUCUGAAGUUAUAAGGGAGAUGGUAUGUCUUCACAUCCGUCUUGCAUGCUCGGCUCAAAUACCGAAAGGCCGGAAGUUUCGCCACCAAUGGGAGCAACGAGGGAAGAUUUUAGCCAUCAUAUUUUGCCGGAUGUCUAGAAACGACUGAAACCACACUGAUUACGUAUGCUAACCAAGGCGGAAGGAGCCAGAGGAAUUGUGAAGCGGCAAAGAUAACAGCAGUCCAAUAUUACUCGACAGGUGCAAGCUCCAGUGGUAUGUGCCAAAUUUUACAGCGGUAAAAAUUGUAUAAGUUUUGCGUUGUUCAUGUUUUUUUUUAAUAUUUGGUACAGCGUGCAGGCGCAACUAAAAUUGAAUAAAAGUUGACAAAUUCGCAAACAUCAAGUCGGCCUACGAUUAUUUGCGAUUCAGCAUGCGAGAUAUAUGUAGCUGAAGUUAAAAGCAUAUAUAAAUAGUUGAAUCCAACCCCAUCGCCAAAACUGCAGGACACCAGUCAAAAAAAAUGACUCCAACUUAAAAACGGAAAACGAACGUUUAACCACUGAUCACAGUUUAACCGACUUUCAAAGAUGAAAUCCGAAACAAUGAAAAAGAGCAAUGUGCUACUCUGUUAAACUUCAUCUGGCUCUGUGCUAUAUUUUUGAAAUUAAUAUUUUAGGAAAUCUAAACAUAUCUACCUAUUGUUCUGACUGUUUCAUUAUCGAUAUCAAUUCUAUCUUACGAACUGAUAAGAGGUAGUAAAAAGGGUACGCCAAAGCACUGGUUUGAUCUAUUCAGGAUGUAUAGAAAUGCAACGCAAGGUGAUACUACAAUUGAGCUUCAAAAUUUUAGUUUUAUUAAUAGUCUCUGGUACUAUCACUCAUAAGAAUACAGACUAUCAAUUCUGGUUACCACACUUGUCAAAAUAUGACCAAUCAAAAACCUGACAAACUAAAUACUGAAAAGAAUCAGUUAACAAUACUGUAUUAUAUUAAGAUUGACAAUGAGGCUCUUGUUAAUGUAUAAAAGAAGUGAAGUUUGAUUUUUGUAGUACUCAGCAAGAAUAUCGAGCAAGGUCCUCUAUAGAUGGUUUUUUUUGGCCUGAGUUUUUCAAAAUUACAUAAUAUAGAAAAUAUUUGAAAUAGAAUUUAAAAGGCCAAAAACUCAUUUCAUUACUAAUAUACUGCAACGUUUAUUAUGAUGGGCCGAAAUGGGCUGAAAUGAUCGAGCCGUACUUUACUUUUCGGAAAUGAAUAACAUGCUCUCAUCUACAAACGAUUUGAUAAGUCCAGAUCAUAAUGCAGAUUCAAGUAUGAUAUGCUUGUUUUUUCAUAAGUACCUAUUCGAGAAUGCGAUGGGUUAGCAUUAAUAGAAAGUCCAUUGGUCUGUUUGUCAAAACACAGAGAUUGUUGUUUAAUAGCAAUUACAUUACAUUAUUGUACAUUUACUAAAUCAGAAGCAUUUAAGAAGAUUAUAUU
This is a long non-coding RNA of Uranotaenia lowii, 1792 nucleotides long. RefSeq lists it as uncharacterized. The record is from RefSeq and is a predicted model, not a curated record. The transcript is spliced from 4 exons. NCBI's taxonomy places the organism in Eukaryota, Metazoa, Arthropoda, Insecta, Diptera, Culicidae.